Molecule: long non-coding RNA, 294 nt
Filed under: Pan troglodytes (chimpanzee)
Lineage: Eukaryota; Metazoa; Chordata; Mammalia; Primates; Hominidae
Description: lncRNA (ENSPTRG00000053777.1)
Source: RNAcentral
AAAAUGACUUUGAAAAACAGUAACAUCACCUGCCUCAAAGGGUUGCUUUCAAGAAGGGAAAAAUGAGAUAGACUCUACAAUGCCUGGCAGCAGCCAGCUUGAAGACAGAACAAGGCUGGACCUCUCAACAAGAGAAAGUGGGAAGGAGACAGCAGGCUUCUGUAUGAAAAAUCAGAGGCAAGUGGAGGAAGCAGUGUUUAGUGAGCCCCAGAACAGGGCAGGUAUGGUCCUCAGUCCUUUCCUGCUAUCUCAUUGAAUCCUCAAAACACCUUUCCAGUCUUACAGAUGGGGCAA